GAAGGGGCGGGGCUACCGCUUGGCCACGCCUCCUGUGAGGUCAAGCCACGCCCACCCGGACCGGAAGGGGAGGGGCCUCGGCGAUGCCCCGCCCCCGCAGAGGAGGACGGCUCCCCAUUGGAGGACUGGGCAGGCCACGCCCCCUAUGAGGACAAGCCCCGCCCACCGCUGGGCGAGUGGGAGGGGCCUCGGCGAAGCCACGCCCCCACGAUGAAGCCACACCCGCUCGUGGGCCAAUGGGAGGGGCUCCAGGAGCAAGGCCACGCCCCCGUUGGAGGCAAGCCACGCCCACUAACGGACAGGCCACGCCCCCUGGAGGGGGAGGGCGGGCUGUGGGCGGGGCCUCGGGCCGCCCCGCCCCCCGCGGCCCAAGAUGGCCGCCGGCCCCCCGCGGAGGCCGCUGGCCAAUGGGGUGGCGGCGGGGCCGCGGGCGGCGCCCAAUCAGGGGGCUCCGGCCCGGGCAGGGGAGGCCGGCGAGGCCCCGGGAGGCCGCGGGAGGCCGGAGGAGGAGGAGGCGGCGGCCAAUGAGGGGCCGCGAUGCUGCGGGGGGUCGGCGGAGCCGGCCAAUGAGGAGCUGGGAGGCUGCCGGGGGGCGGCGGCGGCCAUCUUGGGGUCGCCGGAGGCCGGCGGGAGGUCGGCGGAGGCCGAGGCGAGGUCGGCGGAGGUCAAGGUGAGGUCAGCGGAGGCCCGCGGGGGGUCGGCGGCGGCCAAUGAGGAGCCGGGAGGGGACAGGAAGUGGACGGCGGCCAUCUUGGGGUCAACGGCGGCCAUCUUGGGGUCAACGGCGGCCAACGUGAGGUCAACGGCGGCCAACGUGAGGUCAACGGCGGCCAACGUGAGGUCAACGGAGGCCGGCGGGAGGUCGACAGAGGCCAACGAGGGGUCAACGGAGGCCAAUUUAGGGUCAGCGGAGGCCGCCGGGAGGUCACCGGCAGCCAAUGAGGCGUCAGAAGGCUGCGGGAGGCCAAUGGAGGCCAGCCCGGGGUCAACGGCGGCCAAUGAGGAGCCAGGAGCCAACAGGAAGUCAACGGAGGCCAACGGGACGUCGACGGAGGCCGAUGAGGAGCCAGGAGCCAAUGGGAGGCCAACGGAGACCAAUGAGGAUGGUGCAGCCUCCGCGGCGGCCAUCUUGGAGCCGAGGCCAGCCAAUGAGGGGCUGGAGAGCACCGCAACAUCAUCAGCGGCCAUCUUGGGGGCAACGGACACCACCGUGACGUCGACGGCAGCCCUCUUGGGGCCAACAGACACCGCCGCGACGUCGACGUCGGCCAUCUUGGCGACAACGGACGCCGCCACGACCUCAUCGGCGGCCAUCUUGGGCUCUCCGGUAGACCGCGGCCACCUGGAGGCCAAC
This 1354-nucleotide long non-coding RNA is filed under the name Anser cygnoides (Swan goose). RNAcentral's name for it is "lncRNA (ENSACDG00005007164.1)". Lineage: Eukaryota; Metazoa; Chordata; Aves; Anseriformes; Anatidae. The record is from RNAcentral.